Molecule: ribosomal RNA, 487 nt
Filed under: uncultured bacterium
Lineage: Bacteria
Description: partial 16S ribosomal RNA
Rfam family: Bacterial small subunit ribosomal RNA
Source: RNAcentral
GAUGAACGCUAGCGAUAGGCUUAACACAUGCAAGUCGAGGGGCAGCACAAGGUAGCUUGCUAUCUGGGUGGCGACCGGCGCACGGGUGCGUAACGCGUAUGCAACUUGCCCUAUACAGGAGGAUAACCAGUCGAAAGACGGACUAAUACUGCGUAUGCUCACAACUUGGCAUCAAGUGGUGAGGAAAGAAAUUCGGUAUAGGAUAGGCAUGCGUCCCAUUAGCUUGUUGGUGAGGUAACGGCUCACCAAGGCAACGAUGGGUAGGGGAACUGAGAGGUUUAUCCCCCACACUGGUACUGAGACACGGACCAGACUCCUACGGGAGGCAGCAGUGAGGAAUAUUGGUCAAUGGGCGCGAGCCUGAACCAGCCAAGUCGCUUGAAGGGGGACUGUCUUAUGGAUUGUAAUCUUCUUUUAUACGGGAAUAACAAGAGUCACGUGUGACUCCCUGCAUGUACCGUAUGAAUAAGCAUCGGCUAACUCCGUG